GACGAACGCUGGCGGCGUGCUUAACACAUGCAAGUCGAACGGAAAGGCCCUGCUUUUGUGGGGUGCUCGAGUGGCGAACGGGUGAGUAACACGUGAGUAACCUGCCCUUGACUUUGGGAUAACUUCAGGAAACUGGGGCUAAUACCGGAUAGGAGCUCCUGCUGCAUGGUGGGGGUUGGAAAGUUUCGGCGGUUGGGGAUGGACUCGCGGCUUAUCAGCUUGUUGGUGGGGUAGUGGCUUACCAAGGCUUUGACGGGUAGCCGGCCUGAGAGGGUGACCGGCCACAUUGGGACUGAGAUACGGCCCAGACUCCUACGGGAGGCAGCAGUUGGGAAUAUUGCACAAUGGGCGGAAGCCUGAUGCAGCAACUCCGCGUGCGGGAUGACGGCCUUCGGGUUGUAAACCGCUUUCGCCUGUGACGAAGCGUGAGUGACGGUAAUGGGUAAAGAAGCACCGGAUAACUACGUG
This 468-nucleotide ribosomal RNA is filed under the name uncultured bacterium. RNAcentral's name for it is "partial 16S ribosomal RNA". It matches the Rfam family "Bacterial small subunit ribosomal RNA", at positions 28 to 507 of the family's 1533-position model. The record is from RNAcentral.